Non-coding RNA from Marasmius fiardii PR-910, 99 nucleotides. The record is from the annotation of a GenBank genome assembly. Lineage: Eukaryota; Fungi; Basidiomycota; Agaricomycetes; Agaricales; Marasmiaceae.
GGCAAGAUGGCCGAGCGGUCUAAGGCGUGUGACUCAAGCUCCCGAAGCUUCCUUUCUCAUGAGGGUUUCCUCGCCAGGGUUCGAAUCCCUGUCUUGUCA